UACGAAGGGGGCUAGCGUUGCUCGGAAUUACUGGGCGUAAAGGGCUCGUAGGUGGCCAACUAAGUCAGACGUGAAAUCCCCAGGCUUAACCUGGGAACUGCGUCUGAUACUGGAUGGCUUGAAUUCGGGAGAGGGAUGCAGAAUUCCAGGUGUAGCGGUGAAAUGCGUAGAUAUCUGGAGGAACACCGGUGGCGAAGGCGGCGUUCUGGACUGCAACUGACACUGGGAGACGAAAGCCAGGGGAGCAAACGGG
This 253-nucleotide ribosomal RNA is filed under the name uncultured bacterium. RNAcentral describes it as "partial 16S ribosomal RNA". It matches the Rfam family "Bacterial small subunit ribosomal RNA", at positions 524 to 776 of the family's 1533-position model. The record is from RNAcentral.